UAAAUCAGAAAGAUACAGAGAAGAUUAGCAUGGCCCCUGUGCAAGGAUGGCACACAAAUUAGUAAAGCAUUCAAUAUUUAA
This 81-nucleotide small nuclear RNA is filed under the name Jaculus jaculus (lesser Egyptian jerboa). The record is from RNAcentral. Lineage: Eukaryota; Metazoa; Chordata; Mammalia; Rodentia; Dipodidae.